GGAUGCGAUCAUACCAGCAGUAAAGCAUCGGAUCCCAUCAGAACUCCGAAGUUAAGCGUGCUUGGGCGAGAGUAGUACUAGGAUGGGUGACCUCCUGGGAAGUCCUCGUGUUGCAUUCC
RNAcentral lists this ribosomal RNA (119 nucleotides) under Triticum aestivum (bread wheat). Lineage: Eukaryota; Viridiplantae; Streptophyta; Magnoliopsida; Poales; Poaceae. RNAcentral also lists the same sequence under 1 other name. The record is from RNAcentral.